Non-coding RNA from Podarcis lilfordi (Lilford's wall lizard), 97 nucleotides. The record is from the annotation of a GenBank genome assembly. NCBI's taxonomy places the organism in Eukaryota, Metazoa, Chordata, Lepidosauria, Squamata, Lacertidae.
GCCUGGAUAGCUCAGCUGGUUAGAGCACGGCACUGAUAAAGCCAAGGUUGCAGGUUUGCAUGGGACGGCUGCGAAUUCCUGCAUUGCAGGGGGUUCA